Long non-coding RNA from Astyanax mexicanus (Mexican tetra), 2751 nucleotides. RefSeq lists it as uncharacterized. The record is from RefSeq and is a predicted model, not a curated record. NCBI's taxonomy places the organism in Eukaryota, Metazoa, Chordata, Actinopteri, Characiformes, Acestrorhamphidae. The transcript is spliced from 3 exons.
UAUAAAAAAUUGUUGAUGCAGAAUUUACCGUUUGUCACAUUGUUAAUGUGUGAUGGAGCGAGAGAGAAGGCAUGCGAGAGAAAAAAGGUAGAGAGUGACAAAUCCUGAGCAUCCUGAUUGGCCCUUUCCAUAUGCUGAUGUAACCCUGGUAAAAUAAGCACUCUUUGGGUAAAGCCAUUCUGAGGAGCCUGUGUGUAGACCCCUCCCACUUUUCCCUCUCUCCCACUCUCCCCUCUCUCCACCCCCCCUCUUCUCUCUCUACCUUGCUCUCUCCCAGCGUGUGGGUGCUGCACGGAGCUGGAGAUAAAUGUCCAUUUUGUGUGUGAGGAAAUACUGAGUAAAGACGCUGUUUAAACUGUACUACAGUGAUACACAAGUACCCUCGUUGGAGAUUUUUUAGUUAUCAACCGAGUUGGAUAAACUUUUGCGCUGUUUGAUUGAGGGAGACUCCGGUUGUUCUAAUAGACGGGAGAAACGAGUGAACUUGUCAAAUCCAAGAUGGCGAGCCAACCCUGAAACUACGAUCCCCAGAAUCCUAUGCGAGCGUUUUCCCGCCACCCGAGCCCCAACGGCGCCUCGAGGAGGGAAACAGAUAAGAGGAGCAGAGUCACACACACACACUCUCUAAAAAAACGUAGUCUACCCGGGUAGUGAAGAGACUCACUUUUUCUGACAAUAGCAAACUCAAAUCAUAUAAAAAAAAAAAAAGAAGAAGAGACACGGACUAAAACAAACAUAAAAAAGGGGACUGUUGGGUUUUUUUAACAUUUAAAUGCUGUUUCACGAAGAAGAUUGUGAUUAGUCAAGGGCGUAGGAGCGGGCUUGAUAUUGGGGGGGGACACAUUUGCUAAUAUGAACCAAAGCCCACCCAAUAGUUUCCUAGAACAACAUUUGUGGAACUAUUUUUUAUCACAAAUAAUCUUUUUUUUUUUUUUUUAUAUAUAAGUUAACAUCCUAGAAAAGGUGACUUUACAACCUAAACAUGUUACUCCACGUUACAGUUAGUGUUGUUAGAAAAAAAAUAUGCAUGCAAUGUCUGAAUUAUAUACACAUCACAAAAACUGAUCAGUUAUCACCUAAUAUUUAAAAUAAUAUAACAUAUUAGGUAAUAAAGUAAGUGGUGGUAUGAUGUGUUUAAUACACUGCUGAUAUACAUAAUGAUUAAUUUAGUCUCCAUAGGGGGCUAAAGGAUUUUAACAGGUAAACUCAGUAAAGGACUGUUUAUAAAAUGAUCAGUUCAAUCUGAUGGAAAACACAAUUUUGGGGCAGUGAUCAGGAUUAAGAAACUGCUUUAAACUACCCACAUUACCCAGUGUUGUACUAAAUUCUAGCUAUCCCCUACAUCCAGCUUCUAGAUAACUAGUUAGCUAAAUUAAUUUUCGUUCAUUAUAGCUCACAGUAAGUCCUGUAAUCCUAAAUUAAUAAACACAGUUUGAAAAUGAAAUAGUGAUUAGCUGAUCAGGUACAGGGCAAGUUGAACCAUUACAUAUACAGUUUUUUUUUCUUUAACCUUGACUCCCAAUCUAGCUAAUUCCAAAGUUAAGCUAACUGACUAUACAGCUACAGUUUAUUAGUCACAGUGGGUUUAGUCUGUGUGCUGAUUCAGAGACGUGUAUUUUUAACCAGCUAUCACGCACGCUGCAAAAACAGCAAGCUGAUUGGCUGUUUCUCCUGAGAGGCGGAACUUAAUUCCUGAACCGGCUCCGUGAUUGGUCCGGUCUGUCUCCUCAUUAAUAGUACUGCUGAGCUGAGCGAAACAAUGUCAUUUUUGGGGGGGACAAAUCCACCUGUUUCUAAUAUUGGGUGGGACAUGUCCCACCCAUCCCCCCCGGUUCCUACGCCUAUGUGAUUAGUUAAUGAGUUCUGUAAGGGUUGUUGAGCAGAUUGUGUUCUGAUUUACUUGAUACUGCAUAGAUGCACUGUAUUUCCUUAUUUUGAGGUUUUGGAUUUUGUUUUGUUUAUUAACUCAUUCAGUGAAUUUACAGUAUUAAGCCCCAUUGAAUUAAGCCACAUCCCCUUUUUAUUAUUUUUUCUUUCCCCAUUUAAUUUCAUCCACACCCAUAUUCUCUUCAUAGUCACUAAAGGUACAUUUUAUUUAUUUUUGUUCUUUUAAUAAAUAACCUGCAUCUUGAACUCUGUAUAAAUAUCCCGGUCUGUUGUAUUUUAAUCAGAGCCCUCCGAGCGAAUCUAAAGAGUCUUCUGAUACUGGUCCAACCCCGGAUUUACUGCCUAUAUAUUUUUCUAUUGUAAUACUGUUGUAUAAAAUUUCUGAUAUUUUGUGAACUAGCUAAUGUGGCUGCUGCGUUGCACAUAACGAGUGCUGCACUUAGUUGGCCAAUGAGGUUUCAGUGUGGGUGGGACUUGCAGUGCCCCAGAACGGCUGAGAAAAAAACGUACAUGGUCGUUCCGGACGAGAGUAAAAUCACAGAGGACCCCCCCAUAAACUAUUUAAGGUUACCAAGUCAGAGAAAUGCAGCACACACACGGAUAUAAUGGAUUUUCAGAUAAAAUAUUAAAGAGUCGGUGUCAGAUCUUUACAAUUGGAUUUCAUUCAUAAUCCUGUUUCUUGAAUUGUGUUUUUUAAACUUUGAACACCUAUUGUGCUUUGUAGAUUAUCUUAAAGUACCGGUUUAAGUUGAAAAAAUCUUAAACACCAAUGCAAAAUUAAAAAAAAAUGAACAAGGAUAAAUUCUUUUUAAGGCUUUUAAGAUUGUUGAAUCUAAUUUUUUCAGUAGUUCAGAUAAUUUUUUU